Molecule: ribosomal RNA, 253 nt
Filed under: uncultured bacterium
Lineage: Bacteria
Description: partial 16S ribosomal RNA
Rfam family: Bacterial small subunit ribosomal RNA
Source: RNAcentral
UACGUAGGAUGCAAGCGUUGUCCGGAUUUACUGGGUGUAAAGGGUGCGCAGGCGGCUUAGUAAGUCAGAGGUGAAAGCCCGCAGCUCAACUGCGGAAAUGCCUUUGAUACUGCCUAGCUUGAAUAUGAUAGAGGCUCAUGGAAUAUGUGGUGUAGCGGUGAAAUGCGUAGAUAUCACAUAGAACACCAGUGGCGAAGGCGGUGAGCUGGGUCAUUAUUGACGCUCAUGCACGAAAGUGUGGGUAGCAAACAGG